This 497-nucleotide ribosomal RNA is filed under the name uncultured bacterium. Its description in RNAcentral is "partial 16S ribosomal RNA". It matches the Rfam family "Bacterial small subunit ribosomal RNA", at positions 28 to 507 of the family's 1533-position model. The record is from RNAcentral.
GAUGAACGCUGGCGGCGUGCCUAAUACAUGCAAGUCGAGCGAAAAGACGAGGAGUUUGUUCCUUUGACGUUAACGGCAGACGGGUGUAUAACGCGAGGAUAACCUACCUAUAAGACUGGGAAAACUUCGGAAAACGGGAGCUAAUCCCAGAUAAUAUCUUGAACCGCAUGGUUGGAUAGUGAAAGACGGUUUUGCUGUCACUUAUAGCUGGAUCCGCGCCGCAUUGGCUAGUUGGUAAGGUAAAGGGGUAUCAAGGCAACCAGUCGUAGCCGACGGGAGAGAGGGAUCGCCCACACGGGAACGGGGACGCGGACCAUACUACUACGGGAGGCAGCAGAAUGGAAUCUUCCGCAAUGGGCGAAAACCUGACGGAGCAAGGAGACGUGAGAGAUGACGGUCUCGGGAGCGUAAAACUCUGUUAUUAGGGAAAAACAAAUUUGUAAGGAACUGUACAGGGCUUGACGGUAACUAAUCAGAAAGCCACGGCUAACUACGUG